UACAAGUAGCACUUUGGGCUGUUGUUGCGACCCGGUGAGCUGGUUUGGAGGGUGUCGCAGCUAGUGGUAGCAGGUGGCGACGGCGUGUCUUAUGAUUCUUGGCUGAUGUUUGGAAGCUCUUGGAGGAUCAAAACUUAAGGUUUAAGCAGCUCCAAAGCAGGGAAUUAAGCUACUACACUGCUUAAGUGAAGUAGUAGCUGAUUUUGGAUACUUUACUCGUAGUUGAGGUAGUUUUUGAAACGUUUGCUCGCAGCAGUUUGUGAACCACGUUAAGCCAUUUUGGUAACCUAGAAGGUUGUGUUAGAAGGUGUUCUAACCCGAGCGAGAUUGCAAUCGAGCCUUGGAUCGUCUUCAGUUGGCAUUGGAGAGCAAUUGGAUGCUUAAUUUGAG
This is a long non-coding RNA of Ananas comosus (pineapple), 390 nucleotides long. RefSeq lists it as uncharacterized. NCBI's taxonomy places the organism in Eukaryota, Viridiplantae, Streptophyta, Magnoliopsida, Poales, Bromeliaceae. The transcript is spliced from 3 exons. The record is from RefSeq and is a predicted model, not a curated record.